Molecule: long non-coding RNA, 458 nt
Filed under: Zonotrichia albicollis (white-throated sparrow)
Lineage: Eukaryota; Metazoa; Chordata; Aves; Passeriformes; Passerellidae
Description: lncRNA (ENSZALG00000013269.1)
Source: RNAcentral
GGCUUCAUUCUUGGCAUUUGGUGUUGUUUCAGCUAUUGCAGAUGUCUGCCUGGCAUCCGUUCACUACCGUGGUGGAGUGUCAGUCUGCUUUAGGUCCUGCGUCAUCUCUGCUAUUCCUGUGCAGAUAUCCUGGAUGCUUUACAGCCUUCUCAAAUGGCACUGGGCACCUGUGCCUUGGACAGGAAUCCUGGCCUUUGCUUUGUGAAGCAGCACGUUCCUGAAGGGCCGCAACAGCGUGGUCAUGGUCACAGCCAAGCAUGGCAGCAGUGGGCAAGUUGAACAAAUCUUUGAGCGGGACGAUUGAAGUGUUUUGGUUUGGUUGGAAGACUGUACUAGAUUGCCAGAGGGAAUUCAGAGAAAACCAGAAUACUUUCCCAAAGAGAAGGAUUGCCAUCCUUGGGCUUCUCCACUGCAACUCAGAGAGUCCUGUGCCAUUCCUGCUUUGGGGACAUGGGCAG